RNAcentral lists this ribosomal RNA (402 nucleotides) under uncultured bacterium. RNAcentral describes it as "partial 16S ribosomal RNA". It matches the Rfam family "Bacterial small subunit ribosomal RNA", at positions 360 to 776 of the family's 1533-position model. The record is from RNAcentral.
AAUAUUGCACAAUGGGCGAAAGUCUGAUCCAGUGACGCCGCGUGAAGGAAGAAGGUCUUCGGAUUGUAAACUUAUUUUGUCAGGGAAGAAAAAAAUGACAGUACCUGAAGAAAAAGGACCGGCAAACUACGUGCCAGCAGCCGCGGUAAUACGUAGGGUCCAAGCGUUAUCCGGAUUUACUGGGUGUAAAGGGCGAGUAGACGGCGUUGCAAGUCAGAUGUGAAAACUUGAGGCUCAACCUCAAGACUGCAUCUGAAACUGUAAUGCUAGAGUGCAGGAGAGGAAAGUGGAAUUCCUAGUGUAGCGGUGAAAUGCGUAGAUAUUAGGAGGAACACCAGUGGCGAAGGCGACUUUCUGGACUGUAACUGACGUUGAGGCGCGAAAGUGUGGGGAGCAAACAGG